CCCUCCAUCUAGUGUGUCUGGGAGCGUUGUUGUUCGGGGUGGUCUGGUCCAUCGCUGAGAAGGAGUGUUAUCCAGGGGGGAAUCUGUUCGGCAUCAUCAUCUUGUUUCUCUGUACUGUGUGUGGAGGAAAACUGGUCGGACUGAUCCAACUCCCCACACUGCCCCCCUUCCCCCCUUUACUUGGUAUGUUGCUGGCAGGUCUGGUGCUGCGUAACGUACCGUACGUAACUGAGGCGGUCCACAUUGAGCAGACCUGGUCAGCAGCUCUGAGGAACAUCGCUCUGGCCAUCAUACUGACCCGUGCUGGACUGGGCCUCGACCCUUCGGCUCUCCGCAGACUCAAGGCGGUGUGUGUGCGACUGGCAGUAGGACCGUGUACAGUGGAGGCAUCAACAGUAGCUGUGAUGUCUCACUUCCUGAUGGGCUUGCCCUGGGUCUGGGGAUUCAUAC
This is a long non-coding RNA of Oncorhynchus kisutch (coho salmon), 450 nucleotides long. RefSeq lists it as uncharacterized. The record is from RefSeq and is a predicted model, not a curated record. The transcript has 3 exons. NCBI's taxonomy places the organism in Eukaryota, Metazoa, Chordata, Actinopteri, Salmoniformes, Salmonidae.